CGCACAAAUCGAGAAAUGGU
This 20-nucleotide unclassified non-coding RNA is filed under the name Chlamydomonas reinhardtii. RNAcentral describes it as "small RNA Cre_1232". The record is from RNAcentral. Lineage: Eukaryota; Viridiplantae; Chlorophyta; Chlorophyceae; Chlamydomonadales; Chlamydomonadaceae.